UAAAUCUAUAAAUCCAUCUUGAAGUUCAGAAAUCUGAAUCAUAGAACAAUUAAAUUACUCAAAGUAAUACAAAUAAGAUAGCAUCAAACCAGAGAUUAACGUUAAAGUUUAUUUAUUCUAAUAGAUAAGCUUUUCUAUGAUCUAGUUUUGUUGUCAUUAGAUAACCAGGUUAUCAUCAAAUUAAUAGUACUAUAACAAAGAAAUGUGUACAAAAUUCAUCUGCUGAAAAGCUAACGUUUGUAUUUGAUACCCUUUUGCAAAAUUCUGUAAUAGGAUAAAGGAAUUUCUGCUCAAAUAAAAAUACGUAUGUAGUUUCAAAUGAAUUCCAUAUCAAUUUAUAAAGAAUUGCCAAUUUUCCUUUAUCUAUUUGUUCUAGGAGCAUUGUAAGCCAAAGAAUCGAUUUGUUAAAGGAAUAAACAUUAAAAAAAGACAAGUCUAUAUGGCUAUAUCUUUUAUUUGUGACAUAUGAAUUCCUAAGCUCAUAUAGAACAGAUUUCAUAAAUAUCCUUUAGUUUUAUAUUCCUUUUCUAAUUGGUUAUUAGUCUGUUUUUCUAAACAGAAUAACUCUUCAUUUAAUCAUAAGUGGAAAUAAAAAUAUAGUUAUCAUUUUCCUCAGAUGUAUGUCAAAAUGAUAUAGGAAAACUCUGAAAUCAGAAUACUAAAAGCUAGUAAGACAGUUUGAUUAGAAACAGAUUUUUACUUCUAUGUAAUACAAAUAUAUAUCAGUGAAAAUUAAUAUCUGUCCAGGGGGAAAUAGUCUGGCAUAAACUUAUAUUUGUAUAUAUAUGGCAUAAAACAGCCAUUAUUUCCAAAGGACAAUUUGGCUAAUUCUAGGAGAUGAUCACCUUUCUU
Dipodomys spectabilis (banner-tailed kangaroo rat) is the source of this 852-nucleotide long non-coding RNA. RefSeq lists it as uncharacterized. The record is from RefSeq and is a predicted model, not a curated record. The transcript is spliced from 2 exons. Lineage: Eukaryota; Metazoa; Chordata; Mammalia; Rodentia; Heteromyidae.